UACGGAGGGUGCAAGCGUUAUCCGGAUUUACUGGGUUUAAAGGGUGCGUAGGUGGGUAGGAAAGUCAGUGGUGAAAUCUUCGGGCUUAACCCGGAAACUGCCAUUGAUACUAUUUAUCUUGAAUACUUUGGAGGUAAGCGGAAUUCCCGGUGUAGUGGUGAAAUGCGUAGAUAUCGGGAGGAACACCAGUGGCGAAAGCGGCUACCUGGCCCAUUCUUGACGCUGAGGCGCGAAAGCUAGGGUAGCAAACGGG
RNAcentral lists this ribosomal RNA (253 nucleotides) under uncultured bacterium. RNAcentral's name for it is "partial 16S ribosomal RNA". It matches the Rfam family "Bacterial small subunit ribosomal RNA", at positions 524 to 776 of the family's 1533-position model. The record is from RNAcentral.